GGAAGCCACGCCACAGCUUGAGGGAGUCGGAGGGCUCAGCGCUACACCGCGCCGCGCUGCAUUAUGGAACACAGAGUUUAAUAGAAAGCUCGGCAGGGAACGCAUUCCAGACCAAGAUUGCGUUUACCUUGUCUCGGGGGCGGGGCAAGGAAGAGCCGAUCAAGAUUUCGUCAUAAAACCGCGACCCGACAGGCGGCGCCAUCUUCGAACUUGGACUUCCGGAAGGACUUUGGCGCGGGGCAGCCAUUUUGGGGGGUGCUGAUGGAUACCUGCGGGGUCGGCUAUGUUG
This 289-nucleotide long non-coding RNA is filed under the name Rattus norvegicus (Norway rat). RNAcentral's name for it is "long non-coding RNA NONRATT024075". The record is from RNAcentral. Lineage: Eukaryota; Metazoa; Chordata; Mammalia; Rodentia; Muridae.